This 262-nucleotide ribosomal RNA is filed under the name Mantidactylus majori (Ivohimanita Madagascar frog). RNAcentral's name for it is "partial 16S ribosomal RNA". It matches the Rfam family "Archaeal large subunit ribosomal RNA", at positions 1946 to 2336 of the family's 2987-position model. Lineage: Eukaryota; Metazoa; Chordata; Amphibia; Anura; Mantellidae. The record is from RNAcentral.
CAGCCUGCCCAGUGACAAAGUUCAACGGCCACGGUAUCCUGACCGUGCGAAGGUAGCAUAAUCACUUGUUCUUUAAAUGGGGACUUGUAUCAACGGCAUCACGAGGGUUUUACUGUCUCCUUUUUCUAAUCAGCGAAACUAAUCUCCCCGUGAAGAAGCGGGGAUAUUUAUAUAAGACGAGAAGACCCCAUGGAGCUUCAAACCCAAUUACACCCCCCCCCCCAUAACCUCCUACCCCCCCCGGCCGGGUGUAAUUGGUUUU